AUAUAUUACAACCAAGUGAUUGUGCAGCAACGGGAACUGGACAGAUGAUCUGUGAAUUCGGAUAAGCAAGGGGGAAAAUGUUACACGACCAUUCCAGGAGAUAAAAUCAAGAAUGUUGAAUCAUUGAGGAACACACCAAAUAAACCCUGGGCUGUGAAUUAUGUUAACGGAAGUGGAAGUGAACACCAAAGAAAGAAGAUUCUGGCAUUCAAUAAUUUC
This 219-nucleotide long non-coding RNA is filed under the name Haliotis rufescens (red abalone). RNAcentral describes it as "uncharacterized LOC125377971". Lineage: Eukaryota; Metazoa; Mollusca; Gastropoda; Lepetellida; Haliotidae. The record is from RNAcentral.